This 324-nucleotide unclassified non-coding RNA is filed under the name soil metagenome. RNAcentral describes it as "partial contains 5.8S ribosomal RNA, internal transcribed spacer 2, and large subunit ribosomal RNA". The stretch from base 1 to 120 matches the Rfam family "5.8S ribosomal RNA", at positions 35 to 154 of the family's 154-position model. The record is from RNAcentral.
GAUGAAGAACGUAGCGAAAUGCGGUAAGUAAUGCGAAUUGCAGAAUUCAGUGAGUCAUCGAAUCUUUGAACGCACAUUGCGCCCUGUGGUAUUCCGCAGGGCAUGCCUGUUCGAGCGUCAUUUCAACCCUCAAGCCCCGCUUGGUGUUGGGCCCCGCCCGCUGUGGCCGGCCCUAAAGACAGUGGCGGCGCCGCCUGGCCCUCAGCGUAGUACAUCUCUCGCUCCAGGGUCCGGUGGCCGCCUGCCAGAACCCCCCAACUCUGUGGUUGACCUCGGAUCAGGUAUGGAUACCCGCUGAACUUAAGCAUAUCAAUAAGCGGAGGA